RNAcentral lists this ribosomal RNA (506 nucleotides) under uncultured bacterium. RNAcentral describes it as "partial 16S ribosomal RNA". It matches the Rfam family "Bacterial small subunit ribosomal RNA", at positions 28 to 507 of the family's 1533-position model. The record is from RNAcentral.
GACGAACGCUGGCGGCGUGCUUAACACAUGCAAGUCGAACGGUGAAGGGACUGGUUUUGCUGGUCCUGGAUGAGUGGCGAACGGGUGAGUAACACGUGAGUAACCUGCCCCCUUCUUCUGGAUAACCGCAUGAAAGUGUGGCUAAUACGGGAUAUUCUGGGUCUGUCGCAUGGUGGGCCUGGGAAAGAUUGCGCCUUUUUUGGUGUUUUUGGUGGGGGAUGGGCUCGCGGCCUUUCAGCUUGUUGGUGGGGUGAUGGCCUAACAGGGAGGUGGCGGGUGGGCCGCCUGAGGGGGUUGACGGACACACUAGGAGUGAGACACGGCCCAGACUCCUACGGGAGGCCGCAGUGGGGAAUUUUGCACAAUGGGCGCAAGCCUGGUGGCGCGACGCCGCGUGAGGGAUGGAGGCCUUCGGGUUGUGAACCUCUUUCGCCAGAGAAGCAGGCCUGCCUCUUUUUGUGGGUGGGUUGACGGUAGCUGGAUAAGAAGCGCCGGCUAACUACGUG